This 180-nucleotide ribosomal RNA is filed under the name uncultured Glomeromycotina. RNAcentral describes it as "partial small subunit ribosomal RNA". The record is from RNAcentral. Lineage: Eukaryota; Fungi; Glomeromycota.
AACCUGGUUGGGUGGUCUGCCUUCACGGUACGUACUGCUUGGCCGGGUUCUACCUCUUGGUGAGCCGGCAUGCCCUUCACUGGGUGUGUCGGGGAACCAGGACUUUUACCUUGAGAAAAUUAGAGUGUUCAAAGCAGGCGCACGCUUGCAUAGAUUAGCAUGGAAUAAUGGAAUAGGACC